This is a long non-coding RNA of Trifolium pratense (red clover), 607 nucleotides long. RefSeq lists it as uncharacterized. The record is from RefSeq and is a predicted model, not a curated record. The transcript is spliced from 3 exons. Lineage: Eukaryota; Viridiplantae; Streptophyta; Magnoliopsida; Fabales; Fabaceae.
AAAAUUACAGUCGCGGAAAAAGAUUCGGCGAUAAGUUUUGGAAAUGUCUUAAGACGGACUUUUAUUCCGUAGGUUUUCUGUUUUUACAAGUUUUGUUCGUCGCGGCGCGCGAGAGCUGUGAGGCGUGAGAAGGAAAAUAUCUAGAUAUUUAUUUUAGAUUGCCAGUUGGCCAAGUAUUUGAUCCAAGGGCUAGGAUUUAAUCAUGGCUUUAGUGCACUAUUUGAUCCAAGGGCCUAGAAUGAUUCAUGAUUAGCUUUAAAUAGGCAAAAGCCAUGAGAACCCAACUCCCUUCCCUUCUUCCUCUCAUAACCGUAGCUCUCUCUCCACCCCUUAGAAAAUUUAUUUCUUUGUGUUGGUAAGAAACAAGAUGGAAGAAACUCAUUUUUUAUCAAGAUUCUUAAAUGAUUUUGGAGAAGUUGAUAGAAGGAAAAAGCUUGGUCUUGCUCUUAUGAUUCUAGUGACACUAGCUAAGGUUAAGAGCGUUAACCGAGACUGUGGGACUUCGUCGUGAGCGACGGUUUUCGUGCGCGUAGAGUGUGUUGAUUUUUGUUGGAAGCUUUGCCGAGACGAUGGAGCGCCAUCUGAGACCGUAGGCCGUGUGGACGGC